RNAcentral lists this small nuclear RNA (88 nucleotides) under Acinonyx jubatus (cheetah). RNAcentral also lists the same sequence under 2 other names. Lineage: Eukaryota; Metazoa; Chordata; Mammalia; Carnivora; Felidae. The record is from RNAcentral.
UAAAUUUAAAAAAGUAUUUAUACAGAAAAGAUUAGCAUGGCCCCUGCGCAAGAAUGACAUACAAAUUCAUGAAGAUUCCGUAUUAAAA